RNAcentral lists this ribosomal RNA (468 nucleotides) under uncultured bacterium. Its description in RNAcentral is "partial 16S ribosomal RNA". It matches the Rfam family "Bacterial small subunit ribosomal RNA", at positions 28 to 523 of the family's 1533-position model. The record is from RNAcentral.
GAUGAACGCUGGCGGCGUGCCUAACACAUGCAAGUCGAGCGCUUCUCUUCGGAGAAGAGCGGCGGACGGGUGAGUAACGCGUGGGUAACCUGCCCUGCACAAUCGGAUAACAUAACGAGAGUUAUGCUAAUACGGGAUAACAUAAGAAAUUCGCAUGCUUUUACUGUCAAAGCUCCGGCGGUACAGGAUGGACCCGCGUCAGAUUAUGUAGUUGGUAGAGUUACGGCUCACCAAGGCGACGAUCAGUAGCCAACCUGAGAGGGUGAUCGGACACAAUGAAACUGAGACACGGUUCAAACUCCUACGGGAGGCAGCAGUAGGGAAUAUUGCACAAUGGGCGAAAGCCUGAUGCAGCAACGCCGCGUGAGCGAUGAAGGCCUUCGGGUCGUAAAGCUCUGUCCUCAAGGAAGAUAAUGACGGUACUUGAGGAGGAAGCCCCGGCUAACUACGUGCCAGCAGCCGCCGUAA